Molecule: ribosomal RNA, 433 nt
Filed under: uncultured bacterium
Lineage: Bacteria
Description: partial 16S ribosomal RNA
Rfam family: Bacterial small subunit ribosomal RNA
Source: RNAcentral
AACGAACGCUGGCGGCAUGCCUAACACAUGCAAGUCGAACGAGACCUUCGGGUCUAGUGGCGCACGGGUGCGUAACGCGUGGGAACCUGCCCUUAGGUUCGGAAUAACUCCCCGAAAGGGGUGCUAAUACCGGAUAAUGUCUUCGGACCAAAGAUUCAUCGCCUUUGGAUGGGCCCGCGUUGGAUUAGCUAGUUGGUAGGGUAAAAGCCUACCAAGGCGACGAUCCAUAGCUGGUCUGAGAGGAUGAUCAGCCACACUGGGACUGAGACGCGGCCCAGACUCCUACGGGAGGCAGCAGUGGGGAAUAUUGGACAAUGGGCGAAAGCCUGAUCGAGCUAUGCCGCGUGAGUGAUGAAGGCCUUAGGGUUGUAAAGCUCUUUUACCCGGGAUGAUAAUGACAGUACCGGGAGAAUAAGCUCCGGCUAACUCCGUG